GAUGAAGAACGUAGCGAAAUGCGAUACUUGGUGUGAAUUGCAGAAUCCCGUGAACCAUCGAGUCUUUGAACGCAAGUUGCGCCCGAAGCCAUUAGGCCGAGGGCACGUCUGCCUGGGCGUCACACGUCGUUGCCCCCCCAUCUACUCCUUCGGGAUUGCGGGGGGCGGAUGAUGGCCUCCCGUGCGCCUCGUCGCGCGGUUGGCCUAAAUGCCAAGUCCUCGGCGACGCACGCCACGACAAUCGGUGGUUGCGAAACCUCGGUUGCCUGUCGUGUGCGGUCGUCGCGCAUCGAGGGCUCGAAAAAAUUGCCGGGCUUCGGCUCGACUUUCAACGCGACCCCAGGUCAGGCGGGGUUACCCGCUGAAUUUAAGCAUAUCAAUAAGCGGAGGA
Molecule: unclassified non-coding RNA, 391 nt
Filed under: soil metagenome
Description: partial contains 5.8S ribosomal RNA, internal transcribed spacer 2, and large subunit ribosomal RNA
Rfam family: 5.8S ribosomal RNA (bases 1-122)
Source: RNAcentral